Long non-coding RNA from Argiope bruennichi, 1462 nucleotides. RefSeq lists it as uncharacterized. The transcript is spliced from 5 exons. NCBI's taxonomy places the organism in Eukaryota, Metazoa, Arthropoda, Arachnida, Araneae, Araneidae. The record is from RefSeq and is a predicted model, not a curated record.
UGAAAUAUUUAUUGUAUACAUUUACAAUUUUAAAUUAUUUUUAUUUCCAGCUUAGAUGGGCAUGCUGCAACUCUGACAGUUAUAAAUUGUAUCUGAGUAAUAUCUCUGUGAUAUUAAGAUUGGAUUUGCUUAAUAUUUCUUUCGAAAUAGAGUACGUUCGCCACAAUUGUGGCAAUCGUUUGCCAUUAAGGUUGGGGAAUUAAAGAUGAGUUCUUCGAUAUUGGACUCGAGUUUUGAUUAACGUUGAUCACCACAUUACUCAUCCUCCAGUGAAUCGGAGGUGAAACGAACGAUAUUUUGUCCUGUUUUUUGCUGUUAUUAGUGGUGAUAUUGGCUAUUGCGCUUUACCAAUUUUUAUUGUCUGAAUAUUUAUCAGCUUUAUUUAUUUAUUUUUUGGUUGAUUAUUUAUCAGCUUGAUUUAUUUAUUGGCUUAUUAUUUAUCAGCUUGAUUUAUUAAUUUUACAGUAAUCUUGAUUUUGGCAACUUUUUUUAGAUGGUUUCCUGGUACAUGGUUGUUUUUUUUCUUGGAGGAGUUGUGGAUAUCCGUUUCUUAGGUGUGGGUGAACGCUUUGGUCUUCUGCUUACUUUACGUUUCUUAGAUGCUGGUAAUCACUUCGGACUUGUGUGUUUUCACUUAUGCCUUCUUUUUUACCUUGGCGGGCCUUUGAAUAAACUGAGAUUGGGAUUUGAUGUGUAAAUAUUUAAUUUUAUCAAAUUUUAAAAUUAAUUAUUUAUGGCCUAAUGUGUUUGUGUUUUACAUUUCUUUAACAAUACUGCAUGUUGAAUAUAAACAUUUUUUUUGCAUUUCCUUUUAUAGGUAUGAAAAGUUAUGAUAGGGACUUAGUUGAAAUGCAGGGAAUGAGCUAAAUAAUUUAAGACAUAAAGAGGCAGAUAUGAAAAUUGUAAUGCAAAGAUGGAGCUAAACUAAUCUUGAGACAUUGAUCUGAUAUGAAAAGUUAUGAAAACUGUAAUGCAAAGAUGGAGCUAAACUAAUCUUAAGACAUUUAUCAGUUAUGAAAGUUGUAAUUUAAAGGAGCUAAACUAAUCUUAAGACCUUAAUCAGUGGUCUGACAUUAUUGAAAAUGGAAAUACCCGGCUUGAGUGAGGAUGAUAAUUUAUGGAAUCCACAUCAAUACUAACAACACAGAUUCCAGCAGAAAGUAUAAUGCAUUUGUUCUAUGGACUUCAAUACAUAGAAUGGAAUGAAAACAAAUUAACUAAACGAAGACUAUUUUGGGAAAAUCACUCAUUUUUCCACACAUUGAAGAAAGGCCACACCUACCAAAAAGUGAGAACUCAAUAAAAAUAGUGAAACGAAUACAGAGAAAAAGGAAAACGUACCAUCUGGAUCUGCUGAGAAUACUUCAUUGUGUGUCAAACGUGCAAGGUGCAAGCUCUGUCCAUCAAGCAAUGAUUGGAACACUAAUAUGUUAUGCUUCAAUUGUAAGAGCCACAUUUGCAA